UACUCCUACGGGAGGCAGCAGUGGGGAAUAUUGGACAAUGGGCGCAAGCCUGAUCCAGCCAUACCGCGUGGGUGAAGAAGGCCUUCGGGUUGUAAAGCCCUUUUGUUGGGAAAGAAAUCCAGCUGGCUAAUACCCGGUUGGGAUGACGGUACCCAAAGAAUAAGCACCGGCUAACUUCGUGCCAGCAGCCGCGGUAAUACGAAGGGUGCAAGCGUUACUCGGAAUUACUGGGCGUAAAGCGUGCGUAGGUGGUCGUUUAAGUCCGUUGUGAAAGCCCUGGGCUCAACCUGGGAACUGCAGUGGAUACUGGACGACUAGAGUGUGGUAGAGGGUAGCGGAAUUCCUGGUGUAGCAGUGAAAUGCGUAGAGAUCAGGAGGAACAUCCAUGGCGAAGGCAGCUACCUGGACCAACACUGACACUGAGGCACGAAAGCGUGGGGAGCAAACAGGAUUAGAUACCCUGGUAGUCCAUGCCCUAAACGAUGCGAACUGGAUGUUGGGUGCAAUUUGGCACGCAGUAUCGAAGCUAACGCGUUAAGUUCGCCGCCUGGGGAGUACGGUCGCAAGACUGAAACUCAAAGGAAUUGACGA
This 591-nucleotide ribosomal RNA is filed under the name uncultured bacterium. RNAcentral describes it as "bacterial SSU rRNA". It matches the Rfam family "Bacterial small subunit ribosomal RNA", at positions 334 to 916 of the family's 1533-position model. The record is from RNAcentral.